AACCGUUAUAACCGGCGAUGUCCGAAUGGGGAAACCCAGUGUGACUCGUCACACUAUCAUUAACUGAAUCCAUAGGUUAAUGAGGCGAACCGGGGGAACUGAAACAUCUAAGUACCCCGAGGAAAAGAAAUCAACCGAGAUUCCCCCAGUAGCGGCGAGCGAACGGGGAGGAGCCCAGAGCCUGAAUCAGCAUGUGUGUUAGUGGAAGCGUCUGGAAAGGCGCGCGAUACAGGGUGAGAGCCCCGUACACAAAAGCGCAUAUGCUGUGAGCUCGAUGAGUAGGGCGGGACACGUGGUAUCCUGUCUGAAUAUGGGGGGACCAUCCUCCAAGGCUAAAUACUCCUGACUGACCGAUAGUGAACCAGUACCGUGAGGGAAAGGCGAAAAGAACCCCGGCGAGGGGAGUGAAACAGAACCUGAAACCGUGUACGUACAAGCAGUGGGAGCCCCACCACUAAGCCAGUGGUGAACUCCACAUACGCAUCCUUUGCGGAAGAUGCGGUUAACGGAGCGAAAGCGACGUUCAACCUCAGAAGAAGCAGAGGGGGCUUAGUGGUGGGGUGACUGCGUACCUUUUGUAUAAUGGGUCAGCGACUUAUAUUCUGUAGCAAGGUUAACCGCAUAGGGGAGCCGAAGGGAAACCGAGUCUUAAUUGGGCGUUAAGUUGCAGGGUAUAGACCCGAAACCCGGUGAUCUAGCCAUGGGCAGGUUGAAGGUUGGGUAACACUAACUGAAGGACCGAACCGACUAAUGUUGAAAAAUUAGCGGAUGACCUGUGGCUGGGGGUGAAAGGCCAAUCAAA
This 802-nucleotide ribosomal RNA is filed under the name Salmonella enterica. RNAcentral describes it as "partial 23S ribosomal RNA". It matches the Rfam family "Bacterial large subunit ribosomal RNA", at positions 93 to 837 of the family's 2925-position model. The record is from RNAcentral. Lineage: Bacteria; Pseudomonadati; Pseudomonadota; Gammaproteobacteria; Enterobacterales; Enterobacteriaceae.